Molecule: long non-coding RNA, 2501 nt
Organism: Quercus lobata
Lineage: Eukaryota; Viridiplantae; Streptophyta; Magnoliopsida; Fagales; Fagaceae
Exons: 9
Source: RefSeq, a predicted model, not a curated record
GGCAAACCAAGAGCACGACAUUUGAAAAAAUUAGCAGCAAGCUUACCACACUAACGUCUCUCUAUAUUUUGGGAAUUUCAGAACUUGCUUCUUUGCCAGAGCAGUUAUUGAAAAAUAAUUCGAGUCUUAUGUCUUUGAGAUAUUCGGUUGUGAUGAUUUGGUAUCCCUAUCACCACAUGGGGAUGUAUGGGGCUUCUACACUUCUCUUCGGUCACUGAAUAUAUCAAACUGUAAGAAAUUGAGUUAUUUGCCGGAUGGACUGCACACCCUUCGUUCCCUUGAGAAUUUCGAGGUAAGAAUUGUCCUAAUCUGAGGUCCUUUCCAAGUAUAAAAGGUGUGGCGUUACUUCUUCGAACUCUAGCGAUAUCGUGUAGUAUUGAAGUUCUACCAAUUGGUCUUCAAUCAUGUAUAUCUCUAUCGUCAUUGGAGAUAGAUGAGUGUCCUAAUCUGAUAUCAAUUCCAAAUCUACAGGAUUUGCAUUCACUUUCCUCUUUAACAAUUAGAUCUUGUAAAAGAUUGAUGGGUUUGCCAGAUGGGUUAGACUACCUCACCCGCUUGAAGGAUUUGAGUAUUGGUGGGUUUUGUGAGGAGUUGGAUGCUUUCCCUAGUCUCAGUUCCAUCCAACACGCAUCCCUUGAAACACUAGAAUUGUAUGGAUGGGCUAAACUCAACUCUCUCCCAGACGAUAUUCAACGAUUUACUGCCCUAACACAACUCUGGAUAAUUAAUUUUGACCAGAUGGAAGCUUUGCCUGAGUGGUUGGGCAACCUUUCUUCUGUUCGAACUUGUAUCUUGUGAAUGCAAGAACCUGAUGUAUCUGCCAACAGCGGGAGCCAUGCAACACCUCACCCGAUUUAUAUAUUAAUGAUUGCCCCAAAUUAAAGGAAAGAUGUGUGAAGGGAAGCGGCGCAGAGUGGCUCAAAAUUGCCCAUAUUCCAAAUAUCUCUCUCUCGAAAACGGAUUAAAGGGUAGUUGUGCAUAUUGGUCCAAGACAGAUCAGAGUGGGAAAAAAAGAAAGAAAAAGGAAAGUUCUCUUCAAGAGCUGCAAAUGAUCAAAAUUCAAGGGCCGCUCACCAAAUUAGAGAAGUUGAAGAUGUUUUUGGUCAAAGUAAGACAAAAACAAUGUGAGGAUUCUUUGCCAUUCUAGCCCCAGUUUUCAAUCAGCCAAACUUUAACACCUAAGCACAUUCUUAGUUGGAGGAGUCAUAUUUUGAGGAUCUUUAUGCUGCAGAUAUGAGGCGUCAAUGUUAGCUUUUGAUUUGGCACAGGGUUAACUUUUUCUCUCUUCAAGAUCUGAAUUUUGGGUACAAGAAUUCUGCUUUCAGGGAACAGAGGAAGUGGACCAAUCCCUUACUAAAGAGAUGCUCACUUUACGGUAAAAGCUGAAUAUUUCUUGUUGGUUGCUGUCAGAAUGGUUGACGGUUGUUGAAUUACUAUCUGAGUGAAGUUCAUCAAAAUUAAGUGGUUGGGAAACCUUUUCUCUCUUCAACAUUUGGUACUUAUUUGGAUGCAAGUGGAUGCCAUGUAUUGGCUCACCAAUUUGCAACACCUAUUCAUUCAUAACUGCCUCAAGUUAAAUGAUAGAAGUGCUGAGAGUAUCAGCCAAUUCUGGUCCAAUGACAGGGAAUGGAUUAAAGAGGAAGCUGUUUGAAGUUAACACAUAUAUUAUUACAACAAUGUGUGUGGCCAAAUUCUAUUAUAUUCAGUUGGAAGAACAAUUAAUUAAUUUAUGAUUGAACAAAGCUGAUGAAUGUGCUCCCAUACAAUGCCUCACUGCAUUAUUACAUCAUCAAGAGGAAGUUUAUGUGAUAUCAGGAAAUGUUGGUGGAAGACGUGGUAGUAUUUCAACCUAGGUCCUCUAAUGCGUGAACAGGUUUGGGUUAUUUGAUGGUUGUUAUCCAAUUGGGGGCUGAAAUGUAUUUAUCUGACACACAAGUUCAGGAUUCUUCACCAUUCUAAAGCCCUGUUCAAUCAGCCAAACUUUGACACCUAGGUGCAUUCUUAGUUUGAGGCGUCAUAUUUUUGAGCUGUGCAGAUGAGCUCUCAAUGGAAGCUUCUGAUUUGGUGCAUGAUUAAAUUUUUUCUCUCUCUUCAAGAUCUGAAUUUUGGGUACAAGAAUGCUACUUUUGGGCAGCAAAGGAAGAGAUCUAAUCCUUUACUAAAGAGAUGCUCUCCGGUGUUAUUCAGAGUGGUCGAUAAUUUGCCGGAAGUUAUUACCAUGUUAUGCUCACUUUACAGUAAAAGCUGGAUAUUUUUUAUUGGUUGCUGCCAGAAUGGUUAAUGAUUGCUCCCGGUCUAAUGGAGUGUUGAUUUGAGUGUUAUCUGGUUGAAGUUCAUCAAAAAUUGAGUGGUUGGGCAACCUUUUCUCUCUUCAACACUUUGUACUUAUUUGGACGCAAGAACCUUUUUUAUCUGGCCUAAAGUGGAUGCCAUGUAACAGCUCACCAAAUUGCAACACCUAUUCAUUCAUAACUGCCUCAAGAUAAAUGAUAGAAGUGCUG